UCGAGUCAAUCAUCAUCAUGUAUAGUUAAUGAUCUUGAAAUGGAGUUACCGAGUUGUUGGUGUGGUUUGAAAGCGCCAUUAAAGAUCUCCCACACCCACAAAAAUCCUGGAAGGAAAUUUUAUGCUUGUCCGAAUUAUGGAACGGAAGAAACAAGAUGUCAAUUCUUCAUUUGGGCAGAUAUACUUCAAUCAGUAGUCGGCUUGAAAAAUAUGACGAGAGAGAAUGAAAUUCGGAAGAUGGAGGAUGCUUUAUUGUUGCGUGAGUAUGAAGCUCAAUAAGAAAAGGACAAACUAAUAGAGAGAGAGAAAAUGCUGAAGAAGCAAGAGGAUGAACUUCGAAGAAGGCUAGUAGAGAAUAGGGUUGUACGUAUAUUGUUGUGUCUAUAUUGGAUUGUAUCUCUUGUAAUAGUUUUUGGUUGGUUCUGAAUGUAGAUGUAUCAUGUUAAUUUUAAAUGUAAAUAGAAUGAUCGGAUCCCAACAUGUAUGAUAUAUUAUCUAUGAAGUCU
Molecule: long non-coding RNA, 506 nt
Organism: Juglans microcarpa x Juglans regia
Lineage: Eukaryota; Viridiplantae; Streptophyta; Magnoliopsida; Fagales; Juglandaceae
Exons: 2
Source: RefSeq, a predicted model, not a curated record